RNAcentral lists this ribosomal RNA (427 nucleotides) under uncultured bacterium. RNAcentral's name for it is "partial 16S ribosomal RNA". It matches the Rfam family "Bacterial small subunit ribosomal RNA", at positions 355 to 774 of the family's 1533-position model. The record is from RNAcentral.
UGGGGAAUAUUGGACAAUGGGGGCAACCCUGAUCCAGCCAUGCCGCGUGUGUGAAGAAGGCCUUUUGGUUGUAAAGCACUUUAAGCGGUGAAGAAGACUCCAUGGUUAAUACCCAUGGACGAUGACAUUAGCUGCAGAAUAAGCACCGGCUAACUCUGUGCCAGCAGCCGCGGUAAUACAGAGGGUGCAAGCGUUAAUCGGAAUUACUGGGCGUAAAGCGAGCGUAGGUGGCUUGAUAAGUCAGAUGUGAAAGCCCCGGGCUUAACCUGGGAACGGCAUCUGAUACUGUUAGGCUAGAGUAGGUGAGAGGAAGGUAGAAUUCCAGGUGUAGCGGUGAAAUGCGUAGAGAUCUGGAGGAAUACCGAUGGCGAAGGCAGCCUUCUGGCAUCAUACUGACACUGAGGUUCGAAAGCGUGGGUAGCAAACA